Molecule: non-coding RNA, 61 nt
Filed under: Streptomyces sp.
Lineage: Bacteria; Bacillati; Actinomycetota; Actinomycetes; Kitasatosporales; Streptomycetaceae
Source: RNAcentral
GGACAGGCGAGCGAUCGCCCCGGACGAGCGCGUCGUACCCGGCACGACAAGACGGCGCAGG